GAUGAACGCUGGCGGCGUGCCUAAUACAUGCAAGUCGAGCGAACAGAUGAGGAGCUUGCUCCUCUGACGUUAGCGGCGGACGGGUGAGUAACACGUGGAUAACCUACCUAUAAGACUGGGAUAACUUCGGGAAACCGGAGCUAAUACCGGAUAAUAUAUUGAACCGCAUGGUUCAAUAGUGAAAGACGGUUUUGCUGUCACUUAUAGAUGGAUCCGCGCCGCAUUAGCUAGUUGGUAAGGUAACGGCUUACCAAGGCAACGAUGCGUAGCCGACCUGAGAGGGUGAUCGGCCACACUGGAACUGGGACACGGUCCAGACUCCUACGGUAGACAGCAGGAGGUAAUCUGCCGCAAGGGGCGAAAGCUUGACGGAGCAACGCCGCGUGAGUGAGGAAGUUCUUCGGAUCGUAAAACUCUGUUAUUAGGGAAGAACAAAUGUGUAAGUAACUAUGCACGUCUGGACGGUACCUAAUCAGAAAGCCACGGCUAACUACGU
RNAcentral lists this ribosomal RNA (496 nucleotides) under uncultured bacterium. RNAcentral's name for it is "partial 16S ribosomal RNA". It matches the Rfam family "Bacterial small subunit ribosomal RNA", at positions 28 to 506 of the family's 1533-position model. The record is from RNAcentral.